This 440-nucleotide ribosomal RNA is filed under the name uncultured bacterium. RNAcentral's name for it is "partial 16S ribosomal RNA". It matches the Rfam family "Bacterial small subunit ribosomal RNA", at positions 338 to 795 of the family's 1533-position model. The record is from RNAcentral.
CCUACGGGCGGCUGCAGUGGGGAAUAUUGCACAAUGGGGGAAACCCUGAUGCAGCAACGCCGCGUGAGUGAUGACGGCCUUCUGGUUAUAAAGCUCUGUCUUCCGGGACGAUAAUCACGGUACCUGAGGAGGACCCCACGGCUAACUACGUGCCAGCAGCCGCCGUCAUACGUAGGUGGCGAGCGUUGUCCGGAUUUACUGGGCGUAAAGGGAGCGUAGGCGGACUUUUAAGUGAGAUGUGAAAUACUCGGGCUCAACUUGAGUGCUGCAUUUCAAACUGGAAGUCUAGAGUGCAGGAGAGGAGAAUGGAAUGCGUAGUGUAGCGGUGAAAUGCGUAGAGAUUAGGAAGAACACCAGAGGCGAAGGCGAUUCACUGGACUGUAACUGACGCUGAGGCUCGAAAGCGUGGGGAGCAAACAGGAUUAGAUACCCGUGUAGUC